Cydia fagiglandana is the source of this 761-nucleotide long non-coding RNA. RefSeq lists it as uncharacterized. Lineage: Eukaryota; Metazoa; Arthropoda; Insecta; Lepidoptera; Tortricidae. The transcript is spliced from 2 exons. The record is from RefSeq and is a predicted model, not a curated record.
CUCCCUCUGGUCGCAUUACAACUUUUGUCAUAUUUUUAAUUGUCAUAACACUUAAUGCAUAAAAUUGUAAGUCAUAAAAAUCUUUAGUUAGAAUUAUUCCUGAGCAUAACUGGGUUUUUGUCAUAAAUGAGUUAUGUCAUAAUUUUUAUAGUCAUUAAUUUAAUUCGCAUAAAAUUUUAAGUCAUCUGCUUCAUAUCCAUAAGUGUUUUUCGUUUGAAGUAUUGCAGUGCAUAGUAUUAAUAUAGACAUACAAAAUUAAGUCAUAUAUUUAGUUGUCAUAAUGUUAACUAAUCAUAGUAGGUAGGUUAGGUUCGUUAGGUUACUUUAGAUGCCCGAAGGGCAAACUACGCAGAAAUAGGAGCCCCGCGUGAGCGGGGCUCCGUCGAAUUAAGUGUUUGGACGGAGAUUAGGGAAAAAGCUUUUUAGAUGAGUUGUUGAGAGGCUAAAAUUAGUUUCUUAAAUUAUUUAUGUAAACCAUUAUGUUUGAAAAUUAUUAUGCUACAAAACGUUAUACGUAAAAAACAUUAUAAGUAUCGAUAAAUAUGGUUUUAGCUGGUGUGAUAAUUGAUUCAUUAUAAUCAAAACCUAUAUGCACAAAAAAUAUAUGACAACUGCUGAGUAUGUCAUCAAAUAUUAUGGCUAAAAAAGUAUGACACAAUAUAAUAUGGCUUUUCAUUUGUAUGCGCAAUGAUGAUUAUGACACAAGUUGUUAUGCGCAUCAAAGAUAUGACUUAAACUUGUAUGCAACCCAAUAUGGACCC